Molecule: microRNA precursor, 64 nt
Organism: Monodelphis domestica (gray short-tailed opossum)
Lineage: Eukaryota; Metazoa; Chordata; Mammalia; Didelphimorphia; Didelphidae
Source: Ensembl
GAAGUUUUAGGGCUGUCUUAAGUUUUGUUCAUUUUAUUAUCUUAAGAUGACACUAAGACUUUGG